Molecule: ribosomal RNA, 1245 nt
Filed under: Triticum aestivum (bread wheat)
Lineage: Eukaryota; Viridiplantae; Streptophyta; Magnoliopsida; Poales; Poaceae
Description: partial small subunit ribosomal RNA
Source: RNAcentral
AUGGGUUUUUUGGGUGAUAAAUUCACAUGGCAUCGAGGACGGAUCCGAAAACGACUAGACAGGGGUUUGGUGAAUAAAGCAUGGGCGAACCUUUUUCCCAUGGCAGCUUUGGAAAACUUGCAGUACAACAACUCGGAUGAUAGACCAUUGUUGGUCAACACUGAACACUAUAUUGUGCCCGUUCAUGGCGAUGCAAGACCAAUGAGAUUUGAGUCGAGGUGGUUGCGAGAAGCAAAGUUCAAUGAUACUGUAAUGGACGCUUGGCAGAAAGUAGGAUCGGACCCUACAGCCAACUCGGUUUAUGAGAAGUUAAAUCGCAUGCAUGCGAUGUUCUACGAUUGGGACCAGAGGGUUUUGAAGAAACCUAAACAGCGCCUCCGUAAGGCGCAGCGUGAUCUUGAGAGGGUGAUAAGAGGCCCAAUUAUUGACGACAGUGAAGAAGCGCGCAAAGAGCUUUCAGAGCUGAUUGAAUACCUACUAAAACUUGAAGAAAUUCAUAUGAUGCAAAUGUCACGUAUUUCGUGGCUGAAAAAUGGUGAUAGAAAUACGGGCUUCUUUCAAGCCUAUGCUUCGGCAAGGAGAAAAAGAAAUUUUAUCAAAAAGUUGAAAGACUCGGAUGGAAAUUGGAUGGAAGGUAGAACGGAACUAAACCCACAUAUUCAGAGUUACUUCUCCAACCUUUUUACAUCGGAGGUACAAUACACCGAUCCAUCUAUUCUUGUUAAGGUCAAUUCCAAAGUUACAGCUCAGAUGAACAACAUGUUAUUAGCUCCUUAUACUCCGGAUGAUGUUCGUAAAGCUGUUUUUAGCAUCGGUGAUCUUAAGGCACCAGGGCCUGAUGGCCUCCAUGCAGUCUUUUUCAAAAAAUACUGGCAUAUAUUAGGGGAGGAGAUAACCCAAGAAGUUCUUAUUGCAAUUAUUUCAAGGCAGAUCCCAGCUGAAUGGAAUGAUACAACGAUUGUUUUGGUUCCUAAAGUUGACUCUCCAGAGAUGGUAACUCAAUUCAGACCUAUUAGCCUUUGCAAUGUUUUGUACAAGAUUAUAUCAAAGAUGCUUGCUGCUCGAUUGAAAACAGUUUUUCCUGAUAUUAUUUCUCCAACCCAAAGUGCCUUUGUUCCUGGGAGGCUCAUUACUGAUAACAUUAUCAUCGCUUAUGAAUGUAUUCAUAAAAUAAAAAUAAAAGAGUGGGCCAAUCAGGUCUAUGUGCAGUCAAGUUGGAUAUGCAUAAAGCAUAUGAUCGAGUAG